This 67-nucleotide transfer RNA is filed under the name Indirana semipalmata. Its description in RNAcentral is "tRNA-Ser". The record is from RNAcentral. Lineage: Eukaryota; Metazoa; Chordata; Amphibia; Anura; Ranixalidae.
GAGCCUGGCCGGAGCCAACAAGUACUGCUAAUAUCUGCCACCAUGGUUCAACUCCAUGGCUUGCUCG